Bombus pyrosoma is the source of this 6992-nucleotide long non-coding RNA. RefSeq lists it as uncharacterized. NCBI's taxonomy places the organism in Eukaryota, Metazoa, Arthropoda, Insecta, Hymenoptera, Apidae. The transcript is spliced from 3 exons. The record is from RefSeq and is a predicted model, not a curated record.
CGAUGCGAUCGACGUAUCGAUCGAUGUGACGGAAGCCUGUUGUUGUUAAAAGCAACGAUAAAUAAUAAAUAACUGUGAGUUUUACCGAGUACGAGGAACGAAACGUUCGAGAGAAGAACAGAAACAAGCAACCACCAGGAGAAGAUGACUUUUGCUACGAAUUCGAUAAAUCGAUUGGAUUAUUUUCCUUUCACCGACUUUACGUCGCGCAACAUCGCAUCAUAAAUGAAUACGAAUUCGACUGGCAUCGAAAGCGCGUGAUAGUGCGCAUACACGUUUUUCGAGGAUCUUGAUCAAGGAUAAAAAAAGAUGGAUUGAGGAUAAAGGAAAAAAAUACGCGCCUGUUCCUACCAAGGAUCUCGUUGGAUGAGGAUGACGGAACGGAAUCUUCAACGGUUCGAUGACCCCGCUCGGAUAUUGAAUUUCCUCUUGCGGUAUAUAAAAAUACGGAUGAAAAGUGGCGUUAAAAGGAACUACCGGUUUGAGAGAGCUUUUUCGGUUAUAUAAAAUUUUUAUAGUACUGAUAGCAUCGAUAGCGAGUGAAAGUCAAUUACGCUUAUGUAACAAUUUCUUUUUUUUUUGCUAUAAAAAAUGUUCUCACAGGUAUUAGUUUUAGAUCCUGUAGGAAACGUUCGUGUUAGAUUAAAAUGUAAAAUUUCAAUAUAGAGUUCUUUUCGUUUAGAGCUUACUCGUUAUAGAGUUCAGUACUGAGUAGGUAAAAAUGCGCGAUGUAACAGAAGAGGCAGAAUCAGUUCUGAAGUAGCGUUAAUUUAGUUCUGGGAAAAUAACACAAUGAUCUGCAUCGUAGACAGAAAGUAUUUCACCAGAAUCCUUACAAUGAAUUUUUCAAUUCAUUUCCAAUUAAAUCUCAUUUUAAAACUAGAUGCCACCGCCGGUGAAGAAUUGCGCGUAUCAAAUAGCAACACGACGUUCGACCCACCGACAAUUUGUUAAAAAUUCGUAUACCUAAAGGGCCAUCAACCUUCCCAUAAAAUAACAAACAGAGUAAAAAGAAAUUAUGAAUUGUCAAUAAACAUGCGAUACAUUGAAUUAUAUAGAUAUAGUAGCGUUUAAAGGUCUUUAACACGCUAGCUACAAAAACAGGACAAAGAACAAAUAGGAAGCGUGACAAAUAGGGAUACAACACGUAUUUUCAAUACCGAGAACUCGGAACGAAGUUUGAUAGGACGGGAUCUACGUGGAACCGGUUCAUCCGCUUCUUUCGUUUCAAUGUAGUUCUAAACGUGACCCUCCCUCGGUAACAGGAACCUCAAGGUUAACGGCUGGUUGUCGUAAUAAUGCACUGAUGAAGUGACCGAUCGUUUGGAAAUAUUAAAAAUUCCAUCGCCGUUCUACAAUCGUGUAAUUAUUAUUUCGCUGCAGAUAUCGAACAGCGAUAGGCGUCGAACGAAUCCUGCUUUCCAAUCCUGCAAACGUGAUUUACCGAAGUGGGUCGCAGAGUAGAUUCGAUAUAGUGACCCAAGUCCUGCUUUUGUAUAAUCGAGUUUAGUAUAGAAUAGUGAAUGCAAUAAACCUUAACGAUCAAAGACAGCUUACGCCUGUCUUUCGAUAUUUUAAUAUUAUGACAAACAAUAUCUAGAAAAAUUGCCAGAUCGAUGUGUACACGUUUAUGAGCAUGUUUCUCUUCCGAUGUUAAACAAAUAUUUAUUUCAUAUUCGGAAAGGAAUAGCUUUCUCGUAAUAUAUAUUAUAUUCAAAAAAGAUGUUAGUUUCUUAGUAUGGAAUAUAAUAUUGCGUGUAUAUUUAUAUAUUAAAAGAAGAAUUGAAUCCCUUUCUAACAUCGUAUGAGUACGUGCUCGAUAUUUUGCGCUAGCAGGGUAGUUGCAAAGCUAAACUUAUUUUUAUCUUAAUGACGAGGAGCGUCUCCUGUUCUGCCGUGGAACGUUUCCUUAUUUCACUAUCGAAAUGCAGAAGGUAGAGCGAAUACUUGAGAUUUUUCGCGACGCAACGAAUCAGUUCGAGGACCUUACGUACCUUCAAGUCGACCGAAACACGCGAUGUCGGAAUUACGGUGGGCAGGCCCGACGUUAGUUCAAGUAAAGAAGAUCGAUAAAACUGCCGUGCUAAGUAUUCGCGAUACUAACAGCUUGCCGUGGAAGUCAAAGUGGCAAGUGAACUUUCUCAACGGUCCGAAGUUACGCUUCGUAAGUUUCGCUUUGGCCGGUAUCGAUGCUGCGACCAUCUUUUAAUAAAUUGCUCGCCGAGCGAAUUUCGCUCAACCAGGCUUCAGACAAUUCAGCUUACGUGAAAGCGGAAUGAAAAAGAAAGACAAAAAGAUAAAAGAUGAAAGUGGAAUCCAAGGUGUAAUUUGCGCCGAUGAGUACGCUUUCUAAGCGAGAAGAUCGUUUGACAUAUUAGCUAUUGAAUCGAAAACGCGGGAAUUCGGGCGGCUAGAGAAUUGUGUUCUUGUUAAGAGAAAUGGGAUUUUUUUUAGAAACGUGAAAUUAAUUCUACCUCGUUAGAAAAUCGAGAAUAUUCUCGCAUCUAGCGAAUCGACUGCGAUGAAAAUUUUGCCAUUUAUUAAACAUUGUAAGAUGUAUUAAAAUACUUUGUAUAUUUCAUAUAUUCCAUUUAUAUUACGUGCAUUCUGUGUAUUUUUGUCACUUCAAAUUUCUCACAAAUGCAUGAAAAUCCGCUGCUUAGCGAUGAAAGUAUCAAUGCUGGUUGCAGAAAUUCUCUUCGAUGACAUUUGACGCGAGGAAAUUAGUUCAAUUAUUAUUCCUACGUAUUUAAACGACAGGUAAAGUUUUUUAAAUUUCUCCUAUGAAAUGUAAUGUAUACGUACGUUUUUUAGAUGAAUAAUAUGCAGUAAUUUAUGCAUUAUACGCGCCAGAUGGCACGUUGCAUGGGCAAGCAAUAACAGCAAUAUUGUAUUAGCACGACAGAGGAACGGCUAUUGAAUGUGCAAGGGAAAAGCGGACAAAAAGUGAGAUAUUAAACGGGACGAGUGCUGUACACUUAAACUCGUUGUCGGCAGAACGUUUUGCCUUUAAUUAAUUUGCAGCGUGAUUGAAGACGGCAUCGUGGCUUUGAUUUUCUCUCGUUUUCAUAUUCGAGGAGCAGAUUUUUCUACGCUAUUCAUAAAUCAUUGAUAUUUCGAGAGAAAAUAAAGUAGAGUAUCUUGAUGAAUUUUUUUCGAUAAGCGUUCAAUAUCGCGUUAAAUACAGGAAAUAAAGUUAAAACCUUAUUGAUGAUCAUAAUACCAGUGAAGUAUAUAUAUCGCGUAUGUAUUCUAUGCUGGAUCAGAUUUUGUUCUAGAACAUUGAAUCUCUUAAGAAUGAGAAUACCUUCAAUGUUUGGUUAUUACCAUUGAAAGUGCUUGAUAAGUUUGAUAAACGAAGAUACUUUUUUUAACACUAUGUUGUACUAUAUAUAGAAGCAAUUAAUUGAGUGGCUAUCUCUAACUAAGAAAUAUAAAACGAUACAUAUUAUAUAGUCUCGAAAACCGCGUUGCUACUUCAGCUAUUUGGAAUUUUUGUUUUACGGUCUACGGAUCGCAGACAUAUUUGCGCAUCCACGUGAAACCGAAUCUGAAUUCUACUCUUAGACUUAGAAACACGAAGUCGAGAGAAUAUCACGAGUUCACUUGGUAUGGGAACUGAAAAUCGACGACAAUAUUUCUACUUGCUACCGUUGCAUAUCGACUUGACAUCAAAGUGAAUGUUGUCAAUAAAAGAUUAGAUAUUCGCGUGAAUUUUAAUACGCAAAAUUAAAUUAAUUUUAAUCUUGCGAUAAUGACAUUUAAUCGAUCUUCUUUUACCAUUUUCCUUACAAUGAAUUCAUGGCGGAGGAUACAAAAACCGAUAAUCAACUGCUAAACAAGUGUAUGCAAGCAUAAAGAUGAAAUCGUUUAAAGUACACGUUACAAUGGAGCACGUAAUUGAGAAACCUUCAAACUAUAGUUACCUUCUAAAUUUGCCACUGAAAUUCUAACCGGCAAUUAUUUCAAACAAAGGUUUCUGUAACGUUCAUGACUAAAACAAUUACACUGGAAUGUAGAUUACGAAUCUGUGAAUGUCGACUUUCACUUCUACUUUUUUAUGCAGCUGCACAGGAAUGAAAAAUGAAAAAAAAAAAAAAGAAAAAGACAAUAUUUUCUUUACAAGACUAAACGUUAGAUUCGGCUAAAAUCAAAUUCUUAUCUCUCUGUUAUGUUAGAGAAACUCUAUGUUAAUUUAAUCUUAUUUGUAGUAACGCGUUGAGAGUCUUUUAUCCCACUAAACAUUUCUUUUAGAUUCAAAUUGAAACAAUGAGAUUGGGAUAUAAGAAAUUGUAGAACCGUAGGAAAAUUAAUAACAAUGACCAAGUAUAAAAAUCUUACGUAUAGUAAAAUCAAAUGCAAGACAGUCUUCGAUAUUUUUCUAUAUGUGUAAGAAUAAAAAUAUAUAUAUUUCUAUGUAUAUAUCUUAAGUAACAUAUUUUGAUUUAACAAAAAUUGUAAAAAUGCAAGUAGAAUGCAAUUUUACCAAAUUAUUAAAUGCGAAUUGUGACAAAAAAUAAUUACGUCGCAAUAAACAAAAAAUAAUUUAACAGCAAAGAUAAUAUUUCGUAGUGUUACAUGAGGUGAAAGAGUAAUGGUUGAUAAAAGCACUGAGCAUAACAAGUUCACUUACGAUCAAUCAGAUUAUGCAAUAGAUCAAUGCUUGUACAUAACAAAUUAUCUUUCUUGCGAUUUCAAGAACAAGUAUGCAUACAGUAGAAAAUUUAUGUCGUUUCACGAAGCGUAUAUGAAAAGCGAUAGAAGAGAAAUAAAUGUUAUUUAUAUUAAAAAUAGAAUGAUAAAUAGGAUGCAGGAAUACGAUCUCGUUUCUUUAUGAAUUUAAGGGUAAAAAUUGAAAUAUAAUAAUAAUUCAUAUUCAAUAAUGUUUCAAACUUUUUCAUUGAAUCGUUUAUUUUACGUCAGCUAAUUAAUUACGAAGCUAAUACAAUAAAGUAAUAAAAUAUGUAAGUACACAUAUUGAAUUUCUAUUUGAGAGAGUCGCAAUUUUCAGAAUUAAACAAGCGUUUAUACAGCGAGAAGAAUAAUGAAAUAAUUUUUUACUCCUCUUGUCAAAUAUCUGUCUGUAUUUUUAAAACCAACGGAACAAUGAAAUAUUCUCUUUCUCUUGCAUCAUUUUGCUUUAGUAACAGAAUUAAGAAAAAAACAAAAAACAAAAUUAGACUCUGUGUUAAUAAAAUAUGCUACCAAGUCAAUAUAUUUUCACAAGUUCGUCUUUUAGAACUGUUCUAUUGCUUCUGACAUGUCGUAUAUUUUUCAGGCCAAAGUAUACAAUGACGUAUCGGAGACUUGGUUCGAAGUAAAAUAAUCAACAAUUUGUUUAUUUUGCAGAAAGAUACGAAUUGUUAGGUUGACGUACAUAGAAAAUUGAUCGUGUGUAUUUUGAAAUUUCUAACAAUAGAAGGAACAUCAAGCCUACGAAAAUACGAAGUUACUAGUACAACUGCUGCAUGAAAAUAACCACACAGAAUUUGCUUUCACGCAUUGUGCGAAACAGUGAAAGCAAUAAUAUGGCGUAAGAGCCGUCGUCGAAACGUCGAUACGCCAAAAAUCGUGUAUUGUUCGACAAGAAUCGCGUUCAAAUGGAAUUUCAGCGAGAAACAAAAUCGAUCUGACCUUCUCGACAGAAGGGUGAAACAGGAAUAACUGUACAAAGCAUUUUUUUGCGUGGCGGUAUUACAUUGCAACCAGAACGACCGCGCGACGCGAUUUCCGCGAACACGACACUACGGCGAUCUCAGCUUUUGCAACUUUCUCCUUGUUAUUCUGUUCGCUGGAGAAUCAACAAAUAAGGGCACUGGUUUAUACAGAAUAUUACAAAAAAAAGAAAAGGAUCUAGGACUAAGUUUAUAAGUAUCCGCGGAAAACAGUAAAAAAUAUACGCUUCUCUCUCGAAUUAACAUACGUAAAAAUUUAAUUCUUUUUGUGAAAAAUACAAAGCCCUUAAUAUCUUAAUCCGAAGAUUAAUUCUCUUUGGGUAAAAUAGGAAAAUUCGUUUCCACGUUUCUACGAAUCAACUUCGAUACAACUUCCUCUCGUUUCAAUACCAAUUAUCACACUCCUAAUAAUAUGAAUAUUACACUACGAAUUAAUAUUAUCAGCAAAGUUUCAGUCUCAUUACCGAGAUACAAAAAUCAUACUUCGCUAAUUGUCGACGUGAAAACUAGUCGAUCCUAAGUAUCAAAAUAACGUUUAAAUUUGUAAAAAAAAUUUUAAACUACGACGAAUAUUCAUGCGAAUAGGACCAUCCUUUUAUCGUUGCACGUCUGAACGGAUAUUAUAAACUUUAUCCUUUGGAUCACUACGAGUCAACUGACGAUAUUGACAAUAAGAUGUUCGUGCGUAACCAGCGGAAAGAUUCACCGUUACUCUUCCGAUUGGUUCGCGGGAAAAAAGGCGAGCGUUUCGCGUAAAUCAGUCGUCGCGAUACUUCCGCUCACAGUCGGUUUACACGCGGUAAACGGGAAAUAUUUGCACUGAAAAUAACGGGGCCGUUUAUGACAAACAGAGCAAGCGAAAGUAUGCACGAAACUUGGCCGUUAAACCAUGAAAGAUAAAACACUACGUGUGGGCCUUUUUAAUGUUUCGCGUAGGCCGCGAAAAUAAGCUCGCUCGGAAUCUAGAAUCUCGAAAGCAGCGAGGAAUAAUUCUGCUCGACGGGUUCUUCGUCUUUUAGAUCGUGCAUUGCACAGCUCAUAGAUCUUUGAUGGGAUUAAGAAUGAAUGGUCAAGAACGUGGAACGAAAUGGAUUCGCGGUAGGUACGAAACGAGUUCCUCGUAUCGCAAGUAGUUUCUGGUAUCCUUGAUAUGUUCGGUGUUUCGAUUAAUGGUAUAUUUUUUGAUGUAGUAUUAUUUUCGUGAAUUGGUAAUAUUCGUGAAAUAUAUAAUAUUCGAAUUAAUUAUUUCAAAGAAUAAAAUUUCUAUUGUGGGUAUAGUGGUUGUAGAAAAAAAAAAGUCAUUGGACAUGUUUUACA